This 492-nucleotide ribosomal RNA is filed under the name uncultured bacterium. RNAcentral describes it as "partial 16S ribosomal RNA". It matches the Rfam family "Bacterial small subunit ribosomal RNA", at positions 28 to 507 of the family's 1533-position model. The record is from RNAcentral.
GAUGAACGCUAGCUACAGGCUUAACACAUGCAAGUCGAGGGGAAACGGCAUUAAGUGCUUGCACUUUUUGGACGUCGACCGGCGCACGGGUGAGUAACGCGUAUCCAACCUUCCCAUGACUAAGGGAUAACCUGCCGAAAGGCAGACUAAUACCUUAUGGUCUUCACUGACGGCAUCAGAUGUGAAGUAAAGAUUUAUCGGUUAUGGAUGGGGAAGCGUCUGAUUAGCUUGUUGGCGGGGUAACGGCCCACCAAGGCAACGAUCAGUAGGGGUUCUGAGAGGAAGGUCCCCCACAUUGGAACUGAGACACGGUCCAAACUCCUACGGGAGGCAGCAGUGAGGAAUAUUGGUCAAUGGGCGAGAGCCUGAACCAGCCAAGUAGCGUGCAGGAUGACGGCCCUAUGGGUUGUAAACUGCUUUUGUAUGGGGAUAAAGUCAAUCACGUGUGAUUGUUUGCAGGUACCAUACGAAUAAGGACCGGCUAAUUCCGUG